GGUGAUAGAGAUGUAGUCUUUCGACUUUUUGCUAAAUUUUAGUGUUUGAAUUGAUUUUGUCAGAUUGAAUUUCGCACCUGCUGGUUUUGGGUUCCCGACGACCAACCAAACACGGCAUUGUUUCACUCGCUACAUUGAGUUCCACAGGUAUGAGUCUUAGAAUCAAUAUCCUUCACUAAUUCCUUGGAAGGAGUCAUAGUGAUACAUUAGAAAGGUAAACUAUGAUCCAUAUACACUGGCUUCGACUUUGGAUAGUAGAAUGGCCCUAAUUUGACAAAUUGAUAGGUUAGCCUUAGCCAAUACCAUAUUGCUGGUAUGUAGAAUUGUAUUUAAUAAAAUUGCUAUUGGUCUGACUAUAUUCUAGAUUAUUUGGCAGACUGAUUGAUUAUCAUUUUGAUAAGAAUUCCAAUUUCAUUAUGCGGUCAGUAUGAGCAGGUCAGUAUGAGCAGUUAGUACUAACAACCAUAUUCCUUGAAUUUAAUCUAUAUCGUUCUGGUAGUCAAAAUGCUUGGUGGUUGAAAUCCAAGGGGAGGAAGAAGAAAAUAGAUGAUGGUGAAGAUGCAGUGAAGGAGAGUGGAUACUGCAUCAGUUUAAGGUUUAUUGGCUGCUGUGUUACUUCAAGAUCUACAGUUGAUAGCUUUGUGAGUAGCAUCAGCACUCAUGUUUCAUUGGUUGCAGGGAAUAAACCCAUCGCCUAUGUUUGAGUGUCAAAAAAGGUGGUUAGAAUUAUUAUUGGGUUUACGUGCAGAUCCUAUCAAGUAUUGCACUUGCAAAAUUCAAGAUUAUAAGGCACCUCAUUGUGAACAGGAUGAGGAUGUAAACUUUGAUGACGUUGAUGCUGAAUGUAUUCAGCAACAAUCAGAUAUUCAUAAUAGUAUUGUCAUGAAGCUGGUUAAGAAAGUUGCCCAUAGAGGAUCUACAGCUCCAGAUAGUAUUGCGAAAAGAUUUGAUCAAAAAAGUUAUACUUAUGUUUCAAUGUAAUAUAGGAUGAUGAUGUUUGAUACUAAUGGAUGUAGGAUGAUGAUGUUUGAUACUAAUGUAUAAAUUUUUAUUAUUAA
Salvia miltiorrhiza (redroot sage) is the source of this 1058-nucleotide RNA transcript. RefSeq lists it as uncharacterized. The record is from RefSeq and is a predicted model, not a curated record. Lineage: Eukaryota; Viridiplantae; Streptophyta; Magnoliopsida; Lamiales; Lamiaceae. The transcript has 3 exons.